CGGACGGGUGAGUAAUGUCUGGGAAACUGCCUGAUGGAGGGGGAUAACUACUGGAAACGGUAACUAAUACCGCAUAACGUCGCAAGACCAAAGAGGGGGACCUUCGGGCCUCUUGCCAUCGGAUGUGCCCAGAUGGGAUUAGCUAGUAGGUGGGGUAACGGCUCACCUAGGCGACGAUCCCUAGCUGGUCUGAGAGGAUGACCAGCCACACUGGAACUGAGACACGGUCCAG
Molecule: ribosomal RNA, 232 nt
Filed under: uncultured bacterium
Lineage: Bacteria
Description: partial 16S ribosomal RNA
Rfam family: Bacterial small subunit ribosomal RNA
Source: RNAcentral